AACGAACGCUGGCAGCAUGCCUAACACAUGCAAGUCGAACGAGACCUUCGGGUCUAGUGGCGCACGGGUGCGUAACGCGUGGGAACCUGCCCUUAGGUUCGGAAUAACUCCCCGAAAGGGGUGCUAAUACCGGAUAAUGUCUUCGGACCAAAGAUUUAUCGCCUUUGGAUGGGCCCGCGUUGGAUUAGCUAGUUGGUAGGGUAAAAGCCUACCAAGGCGACGAUCCAUAGCUGGUCUGAGAGGAUGAUCAGCCACACUGGGACUGAGACACGGCCCAGACUCCUACGGGAGGCAGCAGUGGGGAAUAUUGGACAAUGGGCGAAAGCCUGAUCCAGCAAUGCCGCGUGAGUGAUGAAGGCCUUAGGGUUGUAAAGCUCUUUUACCCGGGAUGAUAAUGACAGUACCGGGAGAAUAAGCUCCGGCUAUCUCCGUG
Molecule: ribosomal RNA, 433 nt
Filed under: uncultured bacterium
Lineage: Bacteria
Description: partial 16S ribosomal RNA
Rfam family: Bacterial small subunit ribosomal RNA
Source: RNAcentral